UACAUGUGGGGCAAGCGUUGUUCGGAAUUACUGGGCGUAAAGGGCGCGUAGGUGGCCUUCUUAGUCAGACGUGAAAUCCCCGGGCUUAACUCGGGAACUGCGUCUGAUACUGGAAGGCUGGAGUUCGGGAGAGGAAUGUGGAAUUCCAGGUGUAGCGGUGAAAUGCGCAGAUAUCAGGAGGAACACCGGUGGCGAAGGCGGGUCUCUGGGCCGAUACUGACGCUGAGGAGCGAAAGCGUGGGGAGCGAACAGG
This 253-nucleotide ribosomal RNA is filed under the name uncultured bacterium. RNAcentral describes it as "partial 16S ribosomal RNA". It matches the Rfam family "Bacterial small subunit ribosomal RNA", at positions 524 to 776 of the family's 1533-position model. The record is from RNAcentral.